Molecule: small RNA, 390 nt
Filed under: Vigna angularis var. angularis
Lineage: Eukaryota; Viridiplantae; Streptophyta; Magnoliopsida; Fabales; Fabaceae
Description: Non-protein coding transcript
Source: RNAcentral
AAAAGUGGUAACACAGAGAUAUCUUUAGGUUCAUCAUCAGAUCGAAGCAAUAAUCCAUUAUCGUUGUGCAGGUAAAGCAUUUGAUCAAUUUACAAAAACACAAUUUUAAAUUCUGGCUUCUCUCCAAUAAUGGAAUCCUACCACAGCUUAGAAAUUAUUAGGAAAAUGAAUGUGGCCGAGGUGAACCAAAACACAACGAGUUGACUACCCAAUGCCGCCGAUAGUUGACUGCCCAAUGCCAUCGCUAGUUAACAUAGCUCUCAAAAACCGAAUCCCAAGUGAAAACAAAAUUGAAGGGAAAAAAGAAAAAAAGAUAUGGGGAUUUCUUAACCCUUUUCUGCGUCUGAUAGGAGUUAAAAAACCCUAGUAUUAAUCAAUUUCUAACUGGAC